UGCCAGCCGCCGCGGUAAAACGUAGGGGGCAAGCGUUAUCCGGAUUUACUGGGCGUAAAGCGCACGCAGGCGGUUUGGUAAGUUAGUUGUGAAAGCUCCCGGCUCAACUGGGAGAGUGCGACUGAUACUGCCAGACUUGAGAAUGGUAGAGGAGAGCAGAAUUCCUGGUGUAGUGGUGGAAUGCGUAGAGAUCAGGAGGAAUGCCAGUGGCGAAAGCGGCUCUCUGGGCCAAGUCUGACGCUGAGGUGCGAAAGCGUGGGUAGCGAACGGGAUUAGAUA
RNAcentral lists this ribosomal RNA (279 nucleotides) under uncultured bacterium. RNAcentral describes it as "partial 16S ribosomal RNA". It matches the Rfam family "Bacterial small subunit ribosomal RNA", at positions 506 to 784 of the family's 1533-position model. The record is from RNAcentral.